Molecule: non-coding RNA, 112 nt
Organism: Acanthosepion pharaonis
Lineage: Eukaryota; Metazoa; Mollusca; Cephalopoda; Sepiida; Sepiidae
Source: the annotation of a GenBank genome assembly
UUACGGCCAUAUUGUGUCUGAACACCACUUCCAGUGUGACCACCGAAGUUAAGCAAAGUCGAGCCUGGUCAGUACCUAGAUGGGUGAUCGCAUGGGGAAUAUCAGGUGUUGU